CCCAAAGAAUAAUAAAUGCUUUUGGAAGAAGGCUGAAAAUUCCAGGAAAGCAGGAAAGCAAACAGACAAGCCUAAUGAAACCACAGUUGAUGCUAUUUUGAAUAAAAUAAAGAGAAAAGAAGAAGAAUUUAAACAAUGUCCAGAGAAGGACAGAAGGACAAACAUUUUAAAAAUCAUAAAGCUUUGUUUUUGUGCAUGAUAACUGCAGCAAAAUUAAUAUUGUAUGCACACAGAUGGAAAAAUUUGGCCUUGCUCACAAUGGAGACUGAUUGGUGAAGAUGAUGGAACUUGCUGAGACGGCUAAAUUUACUUCUUUGAUCAGAGGAAAGACAAUAGCUGCAUACAUGGCUGACUGGAAAUUCCUUAUGGACUUUUUGCAUAAA
This is a long non-coding RNA of Ahaetulla prasina, 383 nucleotides long. RefSeq lists it as uncharacterized. The transcript has 3 exons. Lineage: Eukaryota; Metazoa; Chordata; Lepidosauria; Squamata; Colubridae. The record is from RefSeq and is a predicted model, not a curated record.